Molecule: ribosomal RNA, 267 nt
Filed under: Triticum aestivum (bread wheat)
Lineage: Eukaryota; Viridiplantae; Streptophyta; Magnoliopsida; Poales; Poaceae
Description: partial small subunit ribosomal RNA
Source: RNAcentral
AUGCUUGUUGAGACAAACAAGCAUGAGCAAUAUCAUAUUGCUUACAAGCUUCUUAAGUUGGUGUUGAUUCUGCCAGUAGCUGCUGCUAGUGUUGAAAGAGUAUUCUCUUCAAUGAGCUAUGUGAAGAAUAAGCUAAGGAACAAAAUGGGCGAUGAUUAUUUGAACAAUUGUUUGGUUACAUUCGUUGAGAGAGAAUUUUUCAAUCAAGUGAAGGAUGAAGAUGUCAUCAAUCUGUUCCAAAAAGGCGACCUCAGAGUUAUAUUGUAA